ACCUUGUUACGACUUCACCCCAAUCACCAACCACAACUUCAGCGGCUUCCUCCCUUGCCGGUUAGAUCACCGAUUUCUGUUGCAGCGGGCUUUCGUGGUGUGACGGGCGGUGUGUACAAGGCCCGGGAACGUAUUCACCGCGACCUGCUGAUUCGCGAUUACUAGCGAUUCCGCCUUCACGUGGGCGAGUUGCAGCCCACGAUCUGAACUGAGGCCGGCUUUAAGGGUUUGGCUCCACCUUGCGGUAUUGCUUCCCGUUGUACCGGCCAUUGUAGCACGUGUGUAGCCCUGGACAUAAGGGCCAUGAGGAUUUGACGUCGUCCCCACCUUCCUCCUUCUUAUCGAAGGCAGUUUUCGAAGAGUGCUCCCUUGCGGGAUAGCAACAUCGAAUANGGGUUGCGCUCGUUGCGGGACUUAACCCAACAUCUCACGACACGAGCUGACGACAACCAUGCAACACCUCUGCUGG
Molecule: ribosomal RNA, 469 nt
Filed under: uncultured Pseudomonadota bacterium
Lineage: Bacteria; Pseudomonadati; Pseudomonadota
Description: uncultured proteobacterium partial 16S ribosomal RNA
Source: RNAcentral